GACGAACGCUGGCGGCGUGCUUAACACAUGCAAGUCGAACGGAAAGGCCCUGCUUUUGUGGGGUGCUCGAGUGGCGAACGGGUGAGUAACACGUGAGUAACCUGCCCUUGACUUUGGGAUAACUUCAGUAAACUGGGGCUAAUACCGGAUAGGAGCUCCUGCUGCAUGGUGGGGGUUGGAAAGUUUCGGCGGUUGGGGAUGGACUCGCGGCUUAUCAGCUUGUUGGUGGGGUAGUGGCUUACCAAGGCUUUGACGGGUAGCCGGCCUGAGAGGGUGACCGGCCACAUUGGGACUGAGAUACGGCCCAGACUCCUACGGGAGGCAGCAGUGGGGAAUAUUGCACAAUGGGCGGAAGCCUGAUGCAGCAACGCCGCGUGCGGGAUGACGGCCUUCGGGUUGUAAACCGCUUUCGCCUGUGACGAAGCGUGAGUGACGGUAAUGGGGAAAGAAGCACCGGCUAACUACGU
Molecule: ribosomal RNA, 467 nt
Filed under: uncultured bacterium
Lineage: Bacteria
Description: partial 16S ribosomal RNA
Rfam family: Bacterial small subunit ribosomal RNA
Source: RNAcentral